GGCCUCGCAGGUUAGUUGGUAGAACGUCUGCGUACAAAACGUAGUCGGCGUCCGUACGUGGGUUCAAGUCCCACCGAGGCCA
This 82-nucleotide transfer RNA is filed under the name Echinostoma caproni. It matches the Rfam family "tRNA". From Rfam's summary of the family: Transfer RNA (tRNA) molecules are approximately 80 nucleotides in length. The record is from Rfam by way of RNAcentral. Lineage: Eukaryota; Metazoa; Platyhelminthes; Trematoda; Plagiorchiida; Echinostomatidae.